Molecule: long non-coding RNA, 361 nt
Filed under: Phascolarctos cinereus (koala)
Lineage: Eukaryota; Metazoa; Chordata; Mammalia; Diprotodontia; Phascolarctidae
Description: lncRNA (ENSPCIG00000017938.2)
Source: RNAcentral
CAGGGUGCUAAAAGGCACAGGGAGGACCUUCACUAACUUGAAUCAUUUGUUGAGGGAUUUAUCUUACAUCCCUUCUGUCCUUGACCCUUGCCAGGCCCCUUAGAUGGCUUACUAGAAAGAAGACUGGGCUCCUGGACCCUCAGCUGGAGAAAAGUACAAAUCACAUUAUGCCUGGAUUUCCUCUCAACAUCUUCACAGAGGGAAAGAAACUGAAGAACAGGGUAUAUUAGUGCCUGACCAAAGAGUGAAUGAUUGGAAUGAAUCCCAAAUUUCAGAGUAUAAUUCCACCCUGGGGCUGCAGAUGAGAGCUAGGAUGAGGUUCUGAAUAAGACUGGUUGCAGUGGGAAUAGGUAAGAGGGGC